RNAcentral lists this unclassified non-coding RNA (416 nucleotides) under uncultured fungus. RNAcentral's name for it is "partial contains 5.8S ribosomal RNA, internal transcribed spacer 2, and large subunit ribosomal RNA". The record is from RNAcentral. Lineage: Eukaryota; Fungi.
AACGCAUAUUGCGCUUUCGGGUAUCCCCGGAAGCAUGCCUGUUUGAGAAUCGUUUCUACUUUUCAAAGCUCUUUUUAAGAGCAUUUGGAUUUGGACCUUUGCGGGAAUGCUUGCAAGGUCUUAAAGAAACUUGGAUAUUCUCGACUAGAUUAUCCGUCUUGACUUGACGUUUCUGAGGGGAUGUGUUUGUUGCAUCUUUGUAGAGCGUAAGUGUUAUCAAGUCCUGGUUAAAACCUUGACCGAUCGCUUUGUUUUACUUGACUAGACUUGACAUCUAUUCCAAACCUUGACAACAGAAAAGCUCUUGACAAUGAUCAAUCUCGAUUGAGGACCCUUGUACCAGAACAGUAAAGGCAACUUUGACUGACUCUUUUACUCUAGGUCUCAAAUCAGGCAAGAUUACCCGCUGAACUUAA